GCGGAAGUGGUGGAACUGGCAGACACACCAUCUUGAGGGGGUGGCGGCGCAAGCCAUGCGGGUUCAAGUCCCGCCUUCCGCACAA
This 85-nucleotide transfer RNA is filed under the name bacterium. Its description in RNAcentral is "tRNA-Leu". It matches the Rfam family "tRNA". Rfam says of the family: Transfer RNA (tRNA) molecules are approximately 80 nucleotides in length. Their secondary structure includes four short double-helical elements and three loops (D, anti-codon, and T loops). Further hydrogen bonds mediate the characteristic L-shaped molecular structure. tRNAs have two regions of fundamental functional importance: the anti-codon, which is responsible for specific mRNA codon recognition, and the 3' end, to which the tRNAs corresponding amino acid is attached (by aminoacyl-tRNA synthetases). tRNAs cope with the degeneracy of the genetic code in two manners: having more than one tRNA (with a specific anti-codon) for a particular amino acid; and 'wobble' base-pairing, i.e. permitting non-standard base-pairing at the 3rd anti-codon position. The record is from RNAcentral.